Long non-coding RNA from Sapajus apella (tufted capuchin), 1307 nucleotides. RefSeq lists it as uncharacterized. The transcript has 2 exons. The record is from RefSeq and is a predicted model, not a curated record. NCBI's taxonomy places the organism in Eukaryota, Metazoa, Chordata, Mammalia, Primates, Cebidae.
AGUUUUGCUUUUUGUUCUUUUUUCCUUCUCCCAGUCAGGAAACUGAGUAGAAAGUCUCUGGUUCUAUCUAAUUCUUGUCUUUAGAAUCUCCCCUGUCCCAUCUUGAGUAACAGCUCUUGGGGAGAUGUUAUGACAGUUACCUUUACAAACUGAACCUAAGAUUUCUACUAAAAUCUUAGUAAACAAGUUUCCUGAUUAAGGUCCCACUAAGCUGAUUUUCUUCUAUUUAAUAUGUUACCCCAGCUAUUAAUCCAGACUUCUGAAACAAACUCCUCCUUUCUUAAACGAAUUAGUAUCCUUUUGUUACCUUUCUAAACAGAUGAUGGUAGCUUUUAAAAAUAAAUGCACCAUAAUUUCCUCACACCUAUGAUUCCAUUUCCCCACUAAUUCAGUUUGGCUUUGUAACUAAUUGCUACCCCUCCACUAACCAUGUAUUUAAUGAUCAAUCUUGACUAACAAUUCAAGAUCGGCAGAUCUCAACAAGAUACUCUGGCUGACUUUACAGUUCUAGUUUGUCUAAGGCUCCAUGUGUUAUUCUUAUACUUCCUUAGGAGUAAGAUAAAGAUGAUGAUAAACGCAGUGGCAGCCAAUACCUACUAAGUCCUUACUAACAAGGCGGUUUUAAGUACUUUAUAAGUAUUAAUCUAACCAUACAAAAUGUACGCUAUUAUUACUCAAAUUUUCCAAGUAAGGAAUUAAUGCACAGAGAAGGUAAGUAAAUUGCCCAAGAAUAGAACUAGUAUAGAACCAAGCCUAGAUCCGAACCCAGCCAGUCUUGUCUCCAGGGCUCUCAUUCUGAACCUCUAUUGCUAUGCUGCCUCUCAAUAUAAACAAGAAUUUACCUCAGAGCUCAUAAAAUAGAGUUUCACUUAACCAAGCAAACUGAACUAUAGCUAAACAAAAACCCAGAUUUACAGCCCCUUUCUCAUAAGGCAGUUUGCAGAGGUUCUAAAGCAAAGCAAGAAAUAACCACUUUACUAUAUCACAAAGAAAUCUGAAGGAGGCAAUUCUGAGAAAGAAUCUUUUGUUUAGCCAACAAUGCAGAAGUUCAGCUGAGGCUGCACAAGCACGGUUACACUCAUAUUCUCCUAAUUAUGCUGCAUGCAAUUAAAGACAAGUUUCAGAUAGGAUUACCUUGUUUUCUUCUAAGUUCCUUUUCAACUUUUCUUCCAGGUCCCUGGUCUCCUCUAAGCCCUUAAGUUUUAUCUGCUCAUAAUUUUCAUAUGCUUCUUUAAGCUGCUCUUGUAAUACUUGGUACUCCUUUUCAAUCUGUGAAAUUUCCCCCUAAAAAUGAAUUGCAAAACAAU